RNAcentral lists this transfer RNA (70 nucleotides) under Alligator sinensis (Chinese alligator). It matches the Rfam family "tRNA". From Rfam's summary of the family: Transfer RNA (tRNA) molecules are approximately 80 nucleotides in length. Lineage: Eukaryota; Metazoa; Chordata; Crocodylia; Alligatoridae. The record is from Rfam by way of RNAcentral.
GACAAGGUGCCCGAGUGGUUAAGGCAAUGGGCUACUAAUCCAUGUGUGGGUUCAAAUCCUGGCCUUGUGA